CUCCCACCCGUGUUGCCCGAACCUAUGUUGCCUCGGCGGGCCCCGCGCCCGCCGACGGCCCCCCUGAACGCUGUCUGAAGUUGCAGUCUGAGACCUAUAACGAAAUUAGUUAAAACUUUCAACAACGGAUCUCUUGGUUCCGGCAUCGAUGAAGAACGCAGCGAAAUGCGAUAACUAAUGUGAAUUGCAGAAUUCAGUGAAUCAUCGAGUCUUUGAACGCACAUUGCGCCCUCUGGUAUUCCGGAGGGCAUGCCUGUCCGAGCGUCAUUGCUGCCCUCAAGCCCGGCUUGUGUGUUGGGCCCCGUCCCCCCCGCCGGGGGGACGGGCCCGAAAGGCAGCGGCGGCACCGCGUCCGGUCCUCGAGCGUAUGGGGCUUCGUCACCCGCUCUAGUAGGCCCGGCCGGCGCCAGCCGACCCCCAACCUUUAAUUAUCUCAGGUUGACCUCGGAUCAGGUAGGGAUACCCGCUGAACUUAAGCAUAUCAAUAAGCGGGAGGAAGA
This 500-nucleotide ribosomal RNA is filed under the name Penicillium citrinum. RNAcentral's name for it is "eukaryotic LSU rRNA". The stretch from base 114 to 267 matches the Rfam family "5.8S ribosomal RNA". The record is from RNAcentral. Lineage: Eukaryota; Fungi; Ascomycota; Eurotiomycetes; Eurotiales; Aspergillaceae.